RNAcentral lists this ribosomal RNA (427 nucleotides) under uncultured Methylococcus sp. RNAcentral's name for it is "partial 16S ribosomal RNA". It matches the Rfam family "Bacterial small subunit ribosomal RNA", at positions 355 to 774 of the family's 1533-position model. The record is from RNAcentral. Lineage: Bacteria; Pseudomonadati; Pseudomonadota; Gammaproteobacteria; Methylococcales; Methylococcaceae.
UGGGGAAUAUUGGACAAUGGGCGGAAGCCUGAUCCAGCAAUGCCGCGUGUGUGAAGAAGGCCUGCGGGUUGUAAAGCACUUUAAGCAGGAAAGAAGGGUGGAGUGAUAAUACCGCUUCGCAUUGACGUUACCUGCAGAAUAAGCACCGGCUAACUCCGUGCCAGCAGCCGCGGUAAUACGGAGGGUGCGAGCGUUAAUCGGAAUUACUGGGCGUAAAGCGCGCGUAGGCGGUUGGAUGAGUCCGUCGUGAAAGCCCUGGGCUUAACCUGGGAACUGCGGUGGAUACUGUCUGGCUAGAGUGUGGUAGAGGGGAGUGGAAUUUCCGGUGUAGCAGUGAAAUGCGUAGAGAUCGGAAGGAACACCAGUGGCGAAGGCGGCUCCCUGGACCAACACUGACGCUGAGGUGCGAAAGCGUGGGGAGCAAACA